CGGUAAUUCCAGCUCCAAUAGCGUAUACUAAAGUUGUUGCAGUUAAAAAGCUCGUAGUUGGAUUUCUGCGGGGACGGAGCGGCCGGACGCAACUUGCGUCUCGAGCUAGCGCUUUCCCCGCAUCCUGCCGCGAACCGUGCUACCAUUAGUUUGGUGGCGCUGGGGAUCGGCUCGAUUACUUUGAGAAAAAUAGAGUGAUCAGAGCAGGCCACACGCCUUGAAUAAGUUAGCAUGGAAUAAUGACUAAGGACUUCGGUUCUAUUUUGUUGGUGUUCGGGACUGAAGUAAUGAUUGAUAGGGACAGUUGGGGCGGUCUGUAUUCCAAAGCGAGAGGUGAAGUUCUUAGACCUUCGGAAGACAAACAGCUGCGAAAGCGUUCCGCAAGGAUGUUCCCUUUGAUCAAGAACGAAAGUUGGGGGAUCGAAGACGAUCAGAUACCGUCGUAGUCUCAACUAUAAACUAUACCAGCUAGGGAUCGGCCAACGUUUAAUUAUUCGACUUGGUCGGCACCUUAUGAGAAAUCAAAGCAUCUGGGUUCCGGGGGGAGUAUGGUCGCAAGGCUGAAACUUAAAGGAAUUGACGGAAGGGCACCACCAGCCGUGGAGCCUGUGGCUUAAUUUGACUCAACACGGGAAAACUUACCAGGUCCAGACAUAGGAAGGAUUGACAGAUUGAUAGCUCUUUCUUGAUUCUGUGGGUGGUGGUGCAUGGCCGUUUUUAGUUGGUGGAGUGAUUUGUCUGCUUAAUUGCGUUAACGAACGAGACCCCAGCCUGCUAAAUAGCGCGGCCGAGCUUUGCUCGGUGCGAGCUUCUUAGAGGGACCAUGAUGCGCGAUAGCACAAGGAAGUUUGGGGCAACAACAGGUCUGUGAUGCCCUUAGAUGUUCUGGGCCGCACACGGGCUACACUGGCGCCUGCAACGAGCAUAUCAGCUGGCCCGAGAGGGUCUUGGCUAAUCUUUUGAACCGGCGCCGUGCUUGGGAUUGACCUCUGCAAUUGUUGGUCAUGCAACGAGGAAUGCCUUGUAAACGCGAGUCAUCAGCUCGCAUUGAAUACGUCCCUGCCCUUUGUACACACCGCCCGUCGCUCCUACCGAUGAAUGUUCCGAUGAAAUUUUCGGAGAGCGCCAGAGAACGGGGCUCUGCCUUGCAGAUCUGGAGGCUCAAAGUCACUUAAAUCUGAACAUUUCGAGGAAGGAGAAGUCGUAACAAGGUAACC
RNAcentral lists this ribosomal RNA (1217 nucleotides) under uncultured Rhizaria. RNAcentral describes it as "SSU rRNA". It matches the Rfam family "Eukaryotic small subunit ribosomal RNA", at positions 577 to 1804 of the family's 1831-position model. The record is from RNAcentral.